UUUUUUUUUUUUUUUUUUUUUUUUGACACAGAGUCUUGCUCUGUCACCCAGGCUGGAGUGCAGUGAUGUGAUCUCCACUCACUGGGUUUCAUCAUGUUAGCCAGGUUGGUCUCGAUCUCCUGACCUUGUGAUCCACCCGCCUCAGCCUCCCAAAGUGCUGGGAUUACAGGCGUGAGCCACCGUGCCCGGCCUCCUGAUGACUUAGCUGGGCUCACCUCUGUUUCUUCCCUUGAAGCCUUGGGAUGUCUUCCUGUUCUAUGAGAAAUUCCUUGAGACACACUGGGAAUCCCUUUCCCUUAAGGAAAAGCUUUUCUGCAACUUUAUGUGACUCAAUAUGAAUUAACAUAAUAUUAACAAUGGCAAUGAUAGUUGUGUCAUUGGACUAGUGGAAUUUUAAGAUAUUAAUAUUUAAGAUAUAUUGUAAUUUCAGAGAUGCGUGGCUUCUUUCACUUGGCAAGUUUGAAAUGAUUCAUUUAUGUUUUGGGGAUUUUUCAGCCAGAAAGGACAGCAUACCACUCUGGAGCAAUAGAGAAUUUUAAAAGAGCAGUUUGGCUAAAGAGUAGGCCAGGUUCUUAUAGGUCUUGGGAAAUAUUUUGAGCUUUAUUGAACAGUCUAAGGGGAAGUCACUGUAAGGUUUUGAGCAAAGGAAGAUUUGAAUCUGAUUUUUUUUUUCUUUCUUUUAAGCACACUGGCAUGUUAUCCAAACUCAGUAUCACCAGUAAUGGAACAAAAUGACAUUGUGUCUUUGCAUUGUAUCAUAUCAAGAGGAGGCAUGAUAACAUUACCAAUGUAAAUUUCUUGUCAAAUGUUUAUCUAGAAUCUGAUCAUGAUACAACAAAGAGAUCCAGUGUGGGACAUUCUACAAAAAGCUGGUCUGAUCUUUAAAAAAGGUCAAUGCCAUAAAAGACUAUAAAAAGAGUUGCUUUAAUGUGAAGUAUUUUCCUGGAGUCACUUCCUUUGGGACGUUGCCAUUCUUUCC
This is a long non-coding RNA of Homo sapiens (human), 979 nucleotides long. Lineage: Eukaryota; Metazoa; Chordata; Mammalia; Primates; Hominidae. The record is from Ensembl.